This 450-nucleotide ribosomal RNA is filed under the name uncultured bacterium. RNAcentral's name for it is "bacterial SSU rRNA". It matches the Rfam family "Bacterial small subunit ribosomal RNA", at positions 354 to 796 of the family's 1533-position model. The record is from RNAcentral.
GUGGGGAAUAUUGGACAAUGGGCGAAAGCCUGAUCCAGCCAUGCCGCGUGUGUGAAGAAGGUCUUCGGAUUGUAAAGCACUUUAAGUUGGGAGGAAGGGCAGUAAGUUAAUACCUUGCUGUUUUGACGUUACCGACAGAAUAAGCACCGGCUAACUUCGUGCCAGCAGCCGCGGUAAUACGAAGGGUGCAAGCGUUAAUCGGAAUUACUGGGCGUAAAGCGCGCGUAGGUGGUUUUGUAAGUUGGAGGUGAAAUCCCCGGGAUCAACCUGGGAACUGCCUCCAAAACUGCAUGACUAGAGUACGGUAGAGGGUAGUGGAAUUUCCUGUGUAGCGGUGAAAUGCGUAGAUAUAGGAAGGAACACCAGUGGCGAAGGCGACUACCUGGACUGAUACUGACACUGAGGUGCGAAAGCGUGGGGAGCAAACAGGAUUAGAUACCCGAGUAGUCC